UACACACCGCCCGUCACGCCAUGGAAGUUGGGAGCGCCCGAAGCCCGUGAGCCAACCGUAAGGAGGCAGCGGUCGAAGGCGAGUUCGAUGACUGGGGCG
RNAcentral lists this ribosomal RNA (99 nucleotides) under uncultured bacterium. Its description in RNAcentral is "partial 16S ribosomal RNA". It matches the Rfam family "Bacterial small subunit ribosomal RNA", at positions 1384 to 1482 of the family's 1533-position model. The record is from RNAcentral.